Molecule: unclassified non-coding RNA, 348 nt
Filed under: soil metagenome
Description: partial contains 5.8S ribosomal RNA, internal transcribed spacer 2, and large subunit ribosomal RNA
Rfam family: 5.8S ribosomal RNA (bases 1-120)
Source: RNAcentral
GAUGAAGAACGUAGCAAAAUGAGAUAAGUAAUGUGAAUUGCAGAAUUCAGUGAAUCAUCGAAUCUUUGAACGCACAUUGCGCCCGCUGGUAUUCCGGCGGGCAUGCCUGUUCGAGCGUCAUUUCAACCCUCAAGCCCCCGGGUUUGGUGUUGGGGAUCGGCUCUGCCCUUCUGGGCGGUGCCGCCCCCGAAAUACAUUGGCGGUCUCGCUGCAGCCUCCAUUGCGUAGUAGCUAACACCUCGCAACUGGAACGCGGCGCGGCCAUGCCGUAAAACCCCAACUUCUGAAUGUUGACCUCGGAUCAGGUAGGAAUACCCGCUGAACUUAAGCAUAUCAAUAAGCGGAGGA